RNAcentral lists this ribosomal RNA (450 nucleotides) under uncultured bacterium. RNAcentral's name for it is "bacterial SSU rRNA". It matches the Rfam family "Bacterial small subunit ribosomal RNA", at positions 355 to 796 of the family's 1533-position model. The record is from RNAcentral.
UGGGGAAUCUUGCGCAAUGGACGAAAGUCUGACGCAGCCACGCCGCGUGAGUGAAGAAGGCCUUCGGGUUGUAAAGCUCUGUCGCCCGGGACGAAAAUUCCAUGAGUGAAUAGCUCAUGGAACUGACGGUACCGGGAGAGGAAGCACCGGCUAACUCCGUGCCAGCAGCCGCGGUAAUACGGAGGGUGCAAGCGUUGCUCGGAAUUAUUGGGCGUAAAGGGUAGGUAGGUGGUCUCAUUUGUCUGGGGUGAAAGCCUUGAGCUUAACUCAAGAAGUGCCCCAGAAACGGUGAGACUAGAGUCCUGGAGAGGGUCGUGGAAUUCCCGGUGUAGCGGUGAAAUGCGUAGAGAUCGGGAGGAACACCAGAGGCGAAGGCGGCGACCUGGACAGGAACUGACACUAAACUACGAAAGCGUGGGGAGCAAACAGGAUUAGAUACCCGUGUAGUCC